AGAGUUUGAUCAUGGCUCAGAGCGAACGCUGGCGGCAGGCUUAACACAUGCAAGUCGAGCGGGUGUAGCAAUACAUCAGCGGCAGACGGGUGAGUAACGCGUGGGAACAUACCUUUUGGUUCGGAACAACCCAGGGAAACUUGGGCUAAUACCGGAUAAGCCCUUACGGGGAAAGAUUUAUCGCCGAAAGAUUGGCCCGCGUCUGAUUAGCUAGUUGGUGAGGUAAUGGCUCACCAAGGCGACGAUCAGUAGCUGGUCUGAGAGGAUGAUCAGCCACAUUGGGACUGAGACACGGCCCAAACUCCUACGGGAGGCAGCAGUGGGGAAUAUUGGACAAUGGGCGCAAGCCUGAUCCAGCCAUGCCGCGUGAGUGAUGAAGGCCCUAGGGUUGUAAAGCUCUUUUGUGCGGGAAGAUAAUGACGGUACCGCAAGAAUAAGCCCCGGCUAACUUCGUGCCAGCAGCCGCGGUAAUACGAAGGGGGCUAGCGUUGCUCGGAAUCACUGGGCGUAAAGGGUGCGUAGGCGGGUCUUUAAGUCAGGGGUGAAAUCCUGGAGCUCAACUCCAGAACUGCCUUUGAUACUGAGGAUCUUGAGUUCGGGAGAGGUGAGUGGAACUGCGAGUGUAGAGGUGAAAUUCGUAGAUAUUCGCAAGAACACCAGUGGCGAAGGCGGCUCACUGGCCCGAUACUGACGCUGAGGCACGAAAGCGUGGGGAGCAAACAGGAUUAGAUACCCUAGUAGUCC
Molecule: ribosomal RNA, 744 nt
Filed under: uncultured bacterium
Lineage: Bacteria
Description: bacterial SSU rRNA
Rfam family: Bacterial small subunit ribosomal RNA
Source: RNAcentral